GUCGAGAAUCAUCCGCAAUGGGCGAAAGCCUGACGGUGCGACGCCGCGUGGAGGAUGAAGGCCUUCGGGUUGUAAACUUCUGUCACACGUUAUGAACAACGAGAAGUUAAUAGCUUGCUCGUCUGACCAAGGCGUGAGAGGAAGCGCCGGCUAAUUCCGUGCCAGCAGCCGCGGUAAUACGGAAGGCGCGAACGUUGUUCGGAAUCACUGGGCAUAAAGAGCUCGUAGGCGGUCUGUCAAGUCAGUGGUGAAAUCCCUCGGCUCAACCGAGGAAUUGCCAUUGAAACUGGCCGACUCGAGGGCAGGAGGGGAGAGCGGAAUUCCUGGUGGAGCGGUGAAAUGCGUAGAUAUCAGGAGGAACGCCGGCGGCGAAAGCGGCUCUCUGGCCUGUUCCUGACGCUGAGGAGCGAAAGCUAGGGUAGCAAACAGG
This 430-nucleotide ribosomal RNA is filed under the name uncultured bacterium. RNAcentral describes it as "bacterial SSU rRNA". It matches the Rfam family "Bacterial small subunit ribosomal RNA", at positions 354 to 776 of the family's 1533-position model. The record is from RNAcentral.